CCAAUAGCGUAUAUUAAAGUUGUUGCAGUUAAAAAGCUCGUAGUUGAAUUUCGGGAUCAAUUUAUUGGUCGUGCUAUUGUACGUACUGGUAUUAUUGAUUUCUACCUUCUGACGAACCAUGAUGUCAUUAAUUUGGUGUCAUGGGGAAUCAGGACUGUUACUUUGAAAAAAUUAGAGUGUUUAAAGCAGGCUCACGCUUGAAUACAUUAGCAUGGAAUAACGAAAUAGGACGUUUGAUUCUAUUUUGUUGGUUUCUAGGAUCGACGUAAUGGUUAAUAGGGAUAGUUGGGGGCAUUAGUAUUCAAUUGUCAGAGGUGAAAUUCUUGGAUUUAUUGAAGACUAACUACUGCGAAAGCAUUUGCCAAGGAUGUUUUCAUUAAUCAAGAACGAAAGUUAGGGGAUCGAAGACGAUCAGAUACCGUCGUAGUCUUAACCAUAAACUAUGCCGACUAGGGAUCGGAUGAUGUUAAUUUUUUAAUGACUCAUUCGGCGCCUUACG
RNAcentral lists this ribosomal RNA (499 nucleotides) under uncultured Glomeromycotina. RNAcentral describes it as "partial small subunit ribosomal RNA". It matches the Rfam family "Eukaryotic small subunit ribosomal RNA", at positions 591 to 1092 of the family's 1831-position model. The record is from RNAcentral. Lineage: Eukaryota; Fungi; Glomeromycota.